Raphanus sativus (radish) is the source of this 662-nucleotide long non-coding RNA. RefSeq lists it as uncharacterized. The transcript is spliced from 3 exons. The record is from RefSeq and is a predicted model, not a curated record. NCBI's taxonomy places the organism in Eukaryota, Viridiplantae, Streptophyta, Magnoliopsida, Brassicales, Brassicaceae.
UGUAUAGAGUUGAGGAGACUUAUAUGCUGUGUAUAGAGUUGAGGAGAAAGCGUGAAGAAUUUUAGGGGCUGUGUACCUAUUAUAUAGUACAAGGACUUAGGGUUUUUUACUUUUCUAGAUCAAUUAGGUUCUGUUAGAGUAUAUUGAGAGAAUAUUUUGAGUAUUGUACAUGUUAUUGCCUCUUUUACGUAACCAACCAGUUUAGGUUGUUUUCUAACCACAAGGCGACGCUUUGAUCGACACGUUGUAUGUAGGUAAGGCGAUCAAAGGUGUUCGACAUACGUAUCUCGCUUGGCCACAAGGUGGUGAGAUGUUUUGGAGCUCGCCAAAGGUCGCCAAGCGCCAUGGCGACAGUAGCGCUCGCCAUUUAAAACCAAGCUCUUCAGAGCUGUAUGAACCAUUCUUUGUUUCCCUAAUGCAAAAGCCUUCAAAAGAGAAGAGGACAGAGACGGAAAGCAGUUAUAAUUGCAUUACUACUCGACUUAUCAGCAAGAACGAAGAGUUCACAUAUAAAAACAGGUGGCGAUUUCAUAUUAUAGACGAGGAGCUUCCAUACAACGAGAGACAAUCAUUACUUGCAAACUACGGUUUCACCUGAACUGCCCCCCUAAAUGUCUGGAAGAUUCAUCCAUCUCCUAAUAAGCCAUAAGAACAGAGAUACU